This 253-nucleotide ribosomal RNA is filed under the name uncultured bacterium. Its description in RNAcentral is "partial 16S ribosomal RNA". It matches the Rfam family "Bacterial small subunit ribosomal RNA", at positions 524 to 776 of the family's 1533-position model. The record is from RNAcentral.
UACGGAGGGUGCAAGCGUUAUCCGGAUUCACUGGGUCUAAAGGGUGCGUAGGCGGGUAAGUAAGUCCGUGGUGAAAUCUCUGAGCUUAACUCAGAAACUGCCGUGGAUACUAUUUGCCUUGAAUAUUGUGGAGGUGAGCGGAAUAUGUCAUGUAGCGGUGAAAUGCUUAGAUAUGACAUAGAACACCAAUUGCGAAGGCAGCUCACUACACAAUCAUUGACGCUGAGGCACGAAAGCGUGGGGAUCUAACAGG